CCUACGGGAGGCAGCAGUGGGGAAUAUUGCACAAUGGGGGAAACCCUGAUGCAGCGACGCCGCGUGAAGGAAGAAGUAUCUCGGUAUGUCAACUUCUAUCAGCCGGGAAGAAAAUGACGGUACCUGACUAAUCAGCACCGGCGAAAUACGUGCCAGCAGCCGCGGCAAUACGUCGGGGGCCAGCGUUAUCCGGAGUUACUGGGGGUAAUGGGAGCGUAGGCGGUUUAGCAAGUCAGAAGUGAAAGCCCGGGGCUCAACGCCGGGACUGCUUUUGAAACUGGUGAACUAGAUUGCAGGAGAGGUAAGUGGAAUGCGUGGUGUAGCGGUGAAAUGCGUAGAUAUUAGGAGGAACACCAGUGGCGAAGGCAGCGUGCUGGACUGUAAAUGACGCUGAGGCUCGAAAGCGUGGGGAGCGAACAGGAUUAGAUACCCGUGUAGUC
RNAcentral lists this ribosomal RNA (440 nucleotides) under uncultured bacterium. Its description in RNAcentral is "partial 16S ribosomal RNA". It matches the Rfam family "Bacterial small subunit ribosomal RNA", at positions 338 to 795 of the family's 1533-position model. The record is from RNAcentral.